CGUCGGUCCCCUCGCGACGAUCAAUCGUGAACCCCGUCAGACCCGGAAGGGAGCAGCGGCAGCGGUGACAUCGGGCGCCGGGGUGCGGCUGGCGCGG
RNAcentral lists this signal recognition particle RNA (97 nucleotides) under Gammaproteobacteria bacterium. RNAcentral's name for it is "signal recognition particle sRNA small type". It matches the Rfam family "Bacterial small signal recognition particle RNA". Rfam says of the family: The signal recognition particle (SRP) is a universally conserved ribonucleoprotein involved in the co-translational targeting of proteins to membranes. Archaeal SRP consists of a 7S RNA and homologues of the eukaryotic SRP19 and SRP54 proteins. Lineage: Bacteria; Pseudomonadati; Pseudomonadota; Gammaproteobacteria. The record is from RNAcentral.